RNAcentral lists this unclassified non-coding RNA (329 nucleotides) under soil metagenome. RNAcentral describes it as "partial contains 5.8S ribosomal RNA, internal transcribed spacer 2, and large subunit ribosomal RNA". The stretch from base 1 to 120 matches the Rfam family "5.8S ribosomal RNA", at positions 35 to 154 of the family's 154-position model. The record is from RNAcentral.
GAUGAAGAACGUAGUGAAAUGCGAUAGGUAGUGUGAAUUGCAGAAUUCAGUGAAUCAUCGAAUCUUUGAACGCACAUUGCGCCCCUUGGUAUCCCGAGGGGCAUGCCUGUUCGAGCGUCAUUUCACCACUCAAGCCUGGCUUGGUGUUGGGCGACGUCCCCUUUGGGGACGCGCCUCGAAACGCUCGGCGGCGUGGCACCGGCUUUAAGCGUAGCAGAAUCUUUCGCUUUGGAAGUCGGGGCCCCGUCUGCCGGAGGACCUACUCGCAAGGUUGACCUCGUAUCAGGCAGGGAUACCCGCUGAACUUAAGCAUAUCAAUAAGCGGAGGA